This 2902-nucleotide ribosomal RNA is filed under the name Klebsiella quasipneumoniae. RNAcentral's name for it is "23S ribosomal RNA". It matches the Rfam family "Bacterial large subunit ribosomal RNA". Lineage: Bacteria; Pseudomonadati; Pseudomonadota; Gammaproteobacteria; Enterobacterales; Enterobacteriaceae. The record is from RNAcentral.
GGUUAAGCGACUAAGCGUACACGGUGGAUGCCCUGGCAGUCAGAGGCGAUGAAGGACGUGCUAAUCUGCGAAAAGCGUCGGUAAGGUGAUAUGAACCGUUAUAGCCGGCGAUGUCCGAAUGGGGAAACCCAGUGUGAUUCGUCACACUAUCGUUAACUGAAUACAUAGGUUAACGAGGCGAACCGGGGGAACUGAAACAUCUAAGUACCCCGAGGAAAAGAAAUCAACCGAGAUUCCCCCAGUAGCGGCGAGCGAACGGGGAGCAGCCCAGAGUCUGAAUCAGCUUGUGUGUUAGUGGAACGGUCUGGAAAGUCCGACGGUACAGGGUGAUAGUCCCGUACACCAAAAUGCACAGGCUGUGAACUCGAAGAGUAGGGCGGGACACGUGGUAUCCUGUCUGAAUAUGGGGGGACCAUCCUCCAAGGCUAAAUACUCCUGACUGACCGAUAGUGAACCAGUACCGUGAGGGAAAGGCGAAAAGAACCCCGGCGAGGGGAGUGAAAAAGAACCUGAAACCGUGUACGUACAAGCAGUGGGAGCACCUUCGGGUGUGACUGCGUACCUUUUGUAUAAUGGGUCAGCGACUUAUAUUCUGUAGCAAGGUUAACCGUAUAGGGGAGCCGCAGGGAAACCGAGUCUUAACUGGGCGUUAAGUUGCAGGGUAUAGACCCGAAACCCGGUGAUCUAGCCAUGGGCAGGUUGAAGGUUGGGUAACACUAACUGGAGGACCGAACCGACUAAUGUUGAAAAAUUAGCGGAUGACUUGUGGCUGGGGGUGAAAGGCCAAUCAAACCGGGAGAUAGCUGGUUCUCCCCGAAAGCUAUUUAGGUAGCGCCUCGUGAACUCAUCUUCGGGGGUAGAGCACUGUUUCGGCUAGGGGGUCAUCCCGACUUACCAACCCGAUGCAAACUACGAAUACCGAAGAAUGUUAUCACGGGAGACACACGGCGGGUGCUAACGUCCGUCGUGAAGAGGGAAACAACCCAGACCGCCAGCUAAGGUCCCAAAGUCAUGGUUAAGUGGGAAACGAUGUGGGAAGGCACAGACAGCCAGGAUGUUGGCUUAGAAGCAGCCAUCAUUUAAAGAAAGCGUAAUAGCUCACUGGUCGAGUCGGCCUGCGCGGAAGAUGUAACGGGGCUAAACCAUGCACCGAAGCUGCGGCAGCGACACUAUGUGUUGUUGGGUAGGGGAGCGUUCUGUAAGCCUGCGAAGGUGACCUGUGAGGGUUGCUGGAGGUAUCAGAAGUGCGAAUGCUGACAUAAGUAACGAUAAAGCGGGUGAAAAGCCCGCUCGCCGGAAGACCAAGGGUUCCUGUCCAACGUUAAUCGGGGCAGGGUGAGUCGACCCCUAAGGCGAGGCCGAAAGGCGUAGUCGAUGGGAAACAGGUUAAUAUUCCUGUACUUGGUGUUACUGCGAAGGGGGGACGGAGAAGGCUAUGUUAGCCGGGCGACGGUUGUCCCGGUUUAAGCAUGUAGGCUGGUUAUCCAGGCAAAUCCGGAUAAUCAAGGCUGAGGUGUGAUGACGAGGCACUACGGUGCUGAAGUAACAAAUGCCCUGCUUCCAGGAAAAGCCUCUAAGCAUCAGGUAACAUCAAAUCGUACCCCAAACCGACACAGGUGGUCAGGUAGAGAAUACCAAGGCGCUUGAGAGAACUCGGGUGAAGGAACUAGGCAAAAUGGUGCCGUAACUUCGGGAGAAGGCACGCUGGUGUGUAGGUGAAGCCCCUGCGGGUGGAGCUGAGACCAGUCGAAGAUACCAGCUGGCUGCAACUGUUUAUUAAAAACACAGCACUGUGCAAACACGAAAGUGGACGUAUACGGUGUGACGCCUGCCCGGUGCCGGAAGGUUAAUUGAUGGGGUUAUCCGUAAGGAGAAGCUCUUGAUCGAAGCCCCGGUAAACGGCGGCCGUAACUAUAACGGUCCUAAGGUAGCGAAAUUCCUUGUCGGGUAAGUUCCGACCUGCACGAAUGGCGUAAUGAUGGCCAGGCUGUCUCCACCCGAGACUCAGUGAAAUUGAACUCGCUGUGAAGAUGCAGUGUACCCGCGGCAAGACGGAAAGACCCCGUGAACCUUUACUAUAGCUUGACACUGAACAUUGAGCCUUGAUGUGUAGGAUAGGUGGGAGGCUUUGAAGCGUGGACGCCAGUCUGCGUGGAGCCAACCUUGAAAUACCACCCUUUAAUGUUUGAUGUUCUAACGUUGGCCCCUUAUCGGGGUUGCGGACAGUGUCUGGUGGGUAGUUUGACUGGGGCGGUCUCCUCCCAAAGCGUAACGGAGGAGCACGAAGGUUAGCUAAUCCUGGUCGGACAUCAGGAGGUUAGUGCAAUGGCAUAAGCUAGCUUGACUGCGAGCGUGACGGCGCGAGCAGGUGCGAAAGCAGGUCAUAGUGAUCCGGUGGUUCUGAAUGGAAGGGCCAUCGCUCAACGGAUAAAAGGUACUCCGGGGAUAACAGGCUGAUACCGCCCAAGAGUUCAUAUCGACGGCGGUGUUUGGCACCUCGAUGUCGGCUCAUCACAUCCUGGGGCUGAAGUAGGUCCCAAGGGUAUGGCUGUUCGCCAUUUAAAGUGGUACGCGAGCUGGGUUUAGAACGUCGUGAGACAGUUCGGUCCCUAUCUGCCGUGGGCGCUGGAGAAUUGAGGGGGGCUGCUCCUAGUACGAGAGGACCGGAGUGGACGCAUCACUGGUGUUCGGGUUGUCAUGCCAAUGGCACUGCCCGGUAGCUAAAUGCGGAAGAGAUAAGUGCUGAAAGCAUCUAAGCACGAAACUUGCCCCGAGAUGAGUUCUCCCUGAGACUUUAAGUCUCCUGAAGGAACGUUAAAGACGAUGACGUUGAUAGGCCGGGUGUGUAAGCGCAGCGAUGCGUUGAGCUAACCGGUACUAAUGAACCGUGAGGCUUAACCUU